RNAcentral lists this ribosomal RNA (625 nucleotides) under uncultured bacterium. RNAcentral describes it as "bacterial SSU rRNA". The stretch from base 1 to 524 matches the Rfam family "Bacterial small subunit ribosomal RNA", at positions 338 to 873 of the family's 1533-position model. The record is from RNAcentral.
CCUACGGGAGGCAGCAGUGGGGAAUAUUGGGCAAUGGAGGAAACUCUGACCCAGCGACGCCGCGUGCGGGAUGAAGGCCUUCGGGUUGUAAACCGCUUUCAGCAGGGAAGAAGCGAAAGUGACGGUACCUGCAGAAGAAGCACCGGCUAACUAUGUGCCAGCAGCCGCGGUAAUACAUAGGGUGCAAGCGUUGUCCGGAAUUAUUGGGCGUAAAGAGCUCGUAGGUGGUUCGUCACGUCGGAUGUGAAAAUCUGGGGCUUAACCCCAGACCUGCAUUCGAUACGGGCGAGCUUGGGUAUGGUAGGGGAGUCUGGAAUUCCUGGUGUAGCGGUGGAAUGCGCAGAUAUCAGGAGGAACACCAAUGGCGAAGGCAGGACUCUGGGCCAUUACUGACACUGAGGAGCGAAAGCGUGGGGAGCGAACAGGAUUAGAUACCCUGGUAGUCCACGCCGUAAACGGUGGGCACUAGUUGUGGGGACCUUCCACGGUCUCUGCGACGCAGCUAACGCAUUAAGUGCCCCGCCCUGGGGGAGGUACGAGUCGCGAAGAAGUUAAAACUUAAAAUUAAGUAAGUUAGUUACGGUCGUUGAGACGUUGCCGACGGACGACACGAGGGGAGGUUAGG